This 532-nucleotide long non-coding RNA is filed under the name Mus musculus (house mouse). RNAcentral's name for it is "long non-coding RNA chr2:90739354-90739886". Lineage: Eukaryota; Metazoa; Chordata; Mammalia; Rodentia; Muridae. The record is from RNAcentral.
CAAUAAGAUACUUUAAUCUGCAUUUUUCAUUAGCACAUAGUUUUUAUUACAAAGAUUUCUAAAUUUAUGAGUAUUUUGCCUUAAUGUACAUAUGUCCAUAAUGUGUGUCUCUGGUGAUCAUGGGGCCAGAGAAGGGAGCAUCAGAAUCCCUGGAGCUGGCGUUAGAUGGUGGUGAAGCCCCAGUGUGUGCUGAUGGAAGCCCCAGUGUGUGCUGGGACCCAGACCUGGGUCCUCUGCAAGAGCUCUCAACCCGAGCCAUCUCUCUAGCCCCGUCACAGAAACUUCUAAAGUGUCCUUUAAUUGCCCUUGUUUUUCCUAAUCAUAGUACUUAAAACCAUAGAUAUUCCUGUAUUACUGGGUUCUCCAUACACCUCUGAAUAUAUAAAUAGCUUACUAACUUCUCAUUGUAUCUACUCAGAUCUGUAAGUAAGAAGCCAAUUUAUUGUGCAAAUAACCUAUGAUUUGAAUAUAGGUAUUUCAAUAAACCAGGCUUCGUGGUUUAUAUGAACCUCCAUAAAACAUGCAAAGUCAA